This 996-nucleotide ribosomal RNA is filed under the name uncultured organism. RNAcentral describes it as "bacterial SSU rRNA". It matches the Rfam family "Bacterial small subunit ribosomal RNA", at positions 356 to 1376 of the family's 1533-position model. The record is from RNAcentral.
GGGGGAUAUUGGACAAUGGGGGCAACCCUGAUCCAGCGACGCCGCGUGAGGGAAGAAGGUUUUCGGAUUGUAAACCUCUGUUGACGGAGAAAAAAAUGAUGGUAUCCGUUUAGAAAGCCACGGCUAACUACGUGCCAGCAGCCGCGGUAAUACGUAGGUGGCAAGCGUUGUCCGGAAUUACUGGGUGUAAAGGGAGUGUAGGCGGGAUAUCAAGUCAGAAGUGAAAAUUACGGGCUCAACUCGUAACCUGCUUUUGAAACUGACAUUCUUGAGUGAAGUAGAGGCAAGCGGAAUUCCUAGUGUAGCGGUGAAAUGCGUAGAUAUUAGGAGGAACACCAGUGGCGAAGGCGGCUUGCUGGGCUUUUACUGACGCUGAGGCUCGAAAGCGUGGGGAGCAAACAGGAUUAGAUACCCCGGUAGUCCACGCCGUAAACGAUGAUUACUAGGUGUGGGGGGAUUGACCCCUUCCGUGCCGGAGUAAACACAAUAAGUAAUCCACCUGGGGAGUACGACCGCAAGGUUGAAACUCAAAGGAAUUGACGGGGGCCCGCACAAGCAGUGGAGUAUGUGGUUUAAUUCGACGCAACGCGAAGAACCUUACCAGGUCUUGACAUCAAGUGACCGCCUAAGAGAUUAGGUUUUCCCUUCGGGGACACAAAGACAGGUGGUGCAUGGUUGUCGUCAGCUCGUGUCGUGAGAUGUUGGGUUAAGUCCCGCAACGAGCGCAACCCUUAUCAUUAGUUGCUACGCAAGAGCACUCUAAUGAGACUGCCGUUGACAAAACGGAGGAAGGUGGGGAUGACGUCAAAUCAUCAUGCCCUUUAUGACCUGGGCUACACACGUACUACAAUGGCGUUUAACAAAGAGAAGCAAAGCCGCGAGGCAGAGCAAAUCUCCAAAAAACGUCUCAGUUCGGAUUGUAGGCUGCAACUCGCCUACAUGAAGUCGGAAUUGCUAGUAAUCGUAGGUCAGCAUACUACGGUGAAUACGUUCCCG